GGGGAUGUAGCUCAGUUGGGAGAGCGCCACGUUCGCAACGUGGAAGUCGGGGGUUCGAGUCCCCCCAUCUCCACCA
This 76-nucleotide transfer RNA is filed under the name delta proteobacterium ML8_D. RNAcentral describes it as "tRNA-Ala". It matches the Rfam family "tRNA". From Rfam's summary of the family: Transfer RNA (tRNA) molecules are approximately 80 nucleotides in length. Their secondary structure includes four short double-helical elements and three loops (D, anti-codon, and T loops). The record is from RNAcentral. Lineage: Bacteria; Deltaproteobacteria. RNAcentral also lists the same sequence under 2 other names.